This 72-nucleotide transfer RNA is filed under the name Thermocrinis ruber. Its description in RNAcentral is "tRNA-Thr (CGT) (tRNA-Thr-CGT-1-1)". It matches the Rfam family "tRNA". Rfam says of the family: Transfer RNA (tRNA) molecules are approximately 80 nucleotides in length. Their secondary structure includes four short double-helical elements and three loops (D, anti-codon, and T loops). Further hydrogen bonds mediate the characteristic L-shaped molecular structure. tRNAs have two regions of fundamental functional importance: the anti-codon, which is responsible for specific mRNA codon recognition, and the 3' end, to which the tRNAs corresponding amino acid is attached (by aminoacyl-tRNA synthetases). tRNAs cope with the degeneracy of the genetic code in two manners: having more than one tRNA (with a specific anti-codon) for a particular amino acid; and 'wobble' base-pairing, i.e. permitting non-standard base-pairing at the 3rd anti-codon position. The record is from RNAcentral. Lineage: Bacteria; Pseudomonadati; Aquificota; Aquificia; Aquificales; Aquificaceae. RNAcentral also lists the same sequence under 1 other name.
GCCGGCGUAGCUCAGCGGUAGAGCGAGGCACUCGUAAUGCCUAGGUCGUGGGUUCAAAUCCCACCGCCGGCU